RNAcentral lists this ribosomal RNA (721 nucleotides) under Fictibacillus sp. Its description in RNAcentral is "bacterial SSU rRNA". It matches the Rfam family "Bacterial small subunit ribosomal RNA", at positions 26 to 730 of the family's 1533-position model. Lineage: Bacteria; Bacillati; Bacillota; Bacilli; Caryophanales; Fictibacillaceae. The record is from RNAcentral.
AGGAUGAACGCUGGCGGCGUGCCUAAUACAUGCAAGUCGAGCGAAUGACGAGGAGCUUGCUCCUCUGAUUUAGCGGCGGACGGGUGAGUAACACGUGGGUAACCUGCCUGUAAGACGGGGAUAACUUCGGGAAACCGAAGCUAAUACCGGAUAAUAAAGAGAGACUCCUGUUUCUUUUUUGAAAGUCGGUUUCGGCUGACGCUUACAGAUGGGCCCGCGGCGCAUUAGCUAGUUGGUGAGGUAACGGCUCACCAAGGCCACGAUGCGUAGCCGACCUGAGAGGGUGAUCGGCCACACUGGGACUGAGACACGGCCCAGACUCCUACGGGAGGCAGCAGUAGGGAAUCUUCGGCAAUGGACGAAAGUCUGACCGAGCAACGCCGCGUGAGCGAUGAAGGCCUUCGGGUCGUAAAGCUCUGUUGUCAGAGAAGAACAAGUACCGGAGUAACUGCCGGUACCUUGACGGUACCUGACCAGAAAGCCACGGCUAACUACGUGCCAGCAGCCGCGGUAAUACGUAGGUGGCAAGCGUUAUCCGGAAUUAUUGGGCGUAAAGCGCGCGCAGGCGGUUCCUUAAGUCUGAUGUGAAAGCCCACGGCUCAACCGUGGAGGGUCAUUGGAAACUGGGGAACUUGAGUGCAGGAGAGAAAAGUGGAAUUCCACGUGUAGCGGUGAAAUGCGUAGAGAUGUGGAGGAACACCAGUGGCGAAGGCGGCUUUUU